GAUUGGUAAUGGGACUGGUGGAUAGGGGAAGGGUUUGUAAUGGGACUGGUGGAUAGGGGAAGGGUUGGUAAUGGGACUGGUGGAUAGGGGAAGAGUUGGUAAUGGGACUGGUGGAUAGGGGAAGGGUUGGUAAUGGGACUGGUGGAUAGGGGAAGGAUUGGUAAUGGGACUGGUGGAUAGGGGAAGGGUUGGUAAUGGGACUGGUGGAUAGCGGAAGGAUUGGUAAUGGGACUGGUGGAUAGUGGAAGGGUUGGUAAUGGGACAGGUGGAUAGGGGAAGGAUUGGUAAUGAGACUGGUGGAUAGGGGAAGGAUUGGUAAUGGGACAGGUGGAUAGGGGAAGGAUUGGUAAUGGGACUGGUGGAUAGGGGAAGGGUUGGUAAUGGGACAGGUGGAUAGGGGAAGGAUUGGUAAUGGGACUGGUGGAUAAGGGAAGGGUUGGUAAUGGGACAGGUGGAUAUGGGAAGGAUUGGUAAUGGGACUGGUGGAUAGGGGAAGGUUUGGUAAUGGGACUGGUGGAUAGGGGAAGGAUUGGUAAUGGGACUGGUGGAUAGGGGAAGGGUUGGUAAUGGGACUGGUGGAUAGGGGAAGGGUUGGUAAUGGGACUGGUGGAUAGGGGAAGGGUUGGUAAUGGGACUGGUGGAUAGGGGAAGGAUUGGUAAUGGGACUGGUGGAUAGGGGAAGGGUUGGUAAUGGGACUGGUGGAUAGGGGAAGGGUUGGUAAUGGGACUGGUGGAUAGGGGAAGGAUUGGUAAUGGGACUGGUGGAUAGGGGAAGGGUUGGUAAUGGGACUGGUGGAUAGGGGAAGGAUUGGUAAUGGGACUGGUGGAUAGGGGAAGGGUUGGUAAUGGGACUGGUGGAUAGGGGAAGGAUUGGUAAUGGGACUGGUGGAUAGGGGAAGGGUUGGUAAUGGGACAGGUGGAUAGGGGAAGGAUUGGUAAUGGGACAGGUGGAUAGGGGAAGGAUUGGUAAUGGGACAGGUGGAUAGGGGAAGGGUUGGUAAUG
This is a long non-coding RNA of Eriocheir sinensis (Chinese mitten crab), 1003 nucleotides long. RefSeq lists it as uncharacterized. The record is from RefSeq and is a predicted model, not a curated record. NCBI's taxonomy places the organism in Eukaryota, Metazoa, Arthropoda, Malacostraca, Decapoda, Varunidae. The transcript has 3 exons.